GGAAUUUGCACAAUGGGCGCAAGCCUGAUGCAGCCAUGCCGCGUGUGUGAAGAAGGCCUUAGGGUUGUAAAGCACUUUCAGUCAGGAGGAAAGGGUCACGGUUUAUACCCGAUAGCUGUGACGAUUCUGACAGAAGAAGCACCGGCUUACUCCGGGCCAUCAGGCGCGGUAAUACUGCUGGUGCUAGCGUUAAUCUGAAUUACUGGGCGUAAAGCGUGCGCAAGCCGUUUGUUAAGCCAGAUGUGAAAGCCCCGGACUCAACCUGUGAACUGCAUUUCAAACUGGCGGACUUCAGUGUGAUAGAGGGUGGUUGAAUUUUAUGUGUAGCGGCGAAAUGCGUAAAGAUCUGAAAGAAUAUCGAUGGUGACGGCAGCCACCUGGGUCAACACUGACGCUCAUGU
RNAcentral lists this ribosomal RNA (401 nucleotides) under uncultured marine bacterium. RNAcentral's name for it is "bacterial SSU rRNA". It matches the Rfam family "Bacterial small subunit ribosomal RNA", at positions 359 to 752 of the family's 1533-position model. The record is from RNAcentral.